This 478-nucleotide ribosomal RNA is filed under the name uncultured bacterium. RNAcentral's name for it is "partial 16S ribosomal RNA". It matches the Rfam family "Bacterial small subunit ribosomal RNA", at positions 28 to 523 of the family's 1533-position model. The record is from RNAcentral.
GACGAACGCUGGCGGCGUGCUUAACACAUGCAAGUCGAACGGUAAGGCCCUUCGGGGUACACGAGUGGCGAACGGGUGAGUAACACGUGGGUGAUCUGCCCUGCACUUCGGGAUAAGCCUGGGAAACUGGGUCUAAUACCGGAUAGGACCACUGCCUGCAUGGGUGGUGGUGGAAAGCUUUUGCGGUGUGGGAUGGGCCCGCGGCCUAUCGGGUUGUGGGUGGGGUGAUGGCCUACCAAGGCGACGACGGGUAGCCGGCCUGAGCGGGGGACCGACCAAACGGGGACUGAGAUACUGCCCAGACUCCUACGGGAGGCAGCAGUGGGGAAUAUUGCACAAUGGGCGACAGCCUGAUGCAGCGACGCCGCGUGAGGGAUGACGGCCUUCGGGUUGUAAACCUCUUUCAGUAGGGAAGAAGCGAAAGUGACGGUACCUGCAGAAAAAGCACCGGCUAACUACGUGCCAGCCGCCGCAGUAA